GUCGAACGAAGUAGCAAUACUUAGUGGCAGACGGGUGAGUAACAUGUAGGUAUCUACCCUUUGGCCUGGAAUAACACGAGGAAACUUGUGCUAAUACCGGAUAAGUCUUUACGGAGAAAGCUUUAUGCACCAUUGGAUGAGCCUGCACUUGAUUAGUUUGUUGGUGGGGUAAUGGCCUACCAAGACUAUGAUCAAUAGCUGAUUUGAGAGGAUGAUCAGCCACAUUGGAACUGAGACACGGUCCAAACUCCUACGGGAGGCAGCAGUAGGGAAUCUUGCACAAUGGAGGAAACUCUGAUGCAGCGAUGCCGCGUGAGUGAAGAAGGCCUUUGGGUUGUAAAGCUCUUUCGUCGGGGAAGAAAAUGACUGUACCCGAAUAAGAAGGUCCGGCUAACUUCGUGCCAGCAGCCGCGGUAAUACGAAGGGACCUAGCGUAGUUCGGAAUUACUGGGCUUAAAGAGUUCGUAGGUGGUUAAAAAAGUUGGUGGUGAAAUCCCAGAGCUUAACUCUGGAACUGCCAUCAAAACUUUUUAGCUAGAGUAUGAUAGAGGAAAGCAGAAUUUCUAGUGUAGAGGUGAAAUUCGUAGAUAUUAGAAAGAAUACCGAUUGCGAAGGCAGCUUUCUGGAUCAUUACUGACACUGAGGAACGAAAGCAUGGGUAGCGAAGAGGAUUAGAUACCCUCGUAGUCCAUGCCGUAAACGAUGUGUGUUAGACGUUGGAAAUUUAUUUUCAGUGUCGCAGCGAAAGCAGUAAACACACCGCCUGGGGAGUACGACCGCAAGGUUAAAACUCAAAUGAAUUGACGGGGACCCGCACAAGUAGUG
RNAcentral lists this ribosomal RNA (825 nucleotides) under uncultured bacterium. RNAcentral's name for it is "bacterial SSU rRNA". It matches the Rfam family "Bacterial small subunit ribosomal RNA", at positions 61 to 934 of the family's 1533-position model. The record is from RNAcentral.